Molecule: ribosomal RNA, 894 nt
Filed under: Solenopsora holophaea
Lineage: Eukaryota; Fungi; Ascomycota; Lecanoromycetes; Lecanorales; Catillariaceae
Description: partial large subunit ribosomal RNA
Rfam family: Eukaryotic large subunit ribosomal RNA
Source: RNAcentral
CGGGAUUGCCUCAGUAACGGCGAGUGAAGCGGCAACAGCUCAAAUUUGGAAUCUGGCCUCGCUCGGGGCCCGAGUUGUAAUUUGCAGAGGACGCUUCGGGUGACGCGCCGGCCUAAGUCCCUUGGAACGGGGCGUCGUAGAGGGUGAGAAUCCCGUCUGUGGCCGGCGGCCGACCCCGCGAGAAGCUCCUUCGACGAGUCGAGUUGUUUGGGAAUGCAGCUCCAAACGGGUGGUAAAUUUCAUCUAAAGCUAAAUACCGGCCGGAGACCGAUAGCGCACAAGUAGAGUGAUCGAAAGAUGAAAAGCACUUUGGAAAGAGAGUCAAACAGCAUGUGAAAUUGUUGGAAGGGAAGCGCCUGCGACCAGACCCGUCCCCGGGCGAUCACCCGCCGUUCUCGGCGGGGCACUCGCCCGGACGCGGGCCAGCAUCGGUUUCGGCGGCCGGACAAAGGCCCCGGGAAUGUAUCUGCCCCCCCGGGGGCAGACUUAUAGCCCGGGGCGCCAUGCGGCCAGCCGGGACCGAGGACCGCGCUUCGGCUAGGAUGCUGGCGUAAUGGUCGUAGGCGGCCCGUCUUGAAACACGGACCAAGGAGUCUAACGUCUAUGCGAGUGUUUGGGCGUCAAACCCACGCGCGCAAUGAAAGUGAACGGAGGUGGGAACCCCGGCGGGCGCACCAUCGACCGAUCCAGAUGUCUUCGGAUGGAUUUGAGUAUGAGCAUAGCCGUUAGGACCCGAAAGAUGGCGAACUACACGUGGAUAGGGUGAAGCCAGAGGAAACUCUGGUGGAGGCUCGCAGCGGUUCUGACGUGCAAAUCGAUCGUCAAAUCAGCGUGUAGGGGCGAAAGACUUAUCGAGCCAUUUAGUAGCUGGUUUCGGCCGAAGUUUCCCUCAGG